CGAGUGCCAACCAGUGCCUGGUUUGAUUUAAAUUUUAUGGUUAUGUCCACCCAGUGUUUUUUAUACGGAGGACAGUGCGUUUAGAACCAUUUAGACCAUUUCGAACCCUGGAUUGAUAUAAAAGGAAUCUGUGUCCUAUAUGGAGCGGGAAGUGUCACGAACGAGAAAGGAAUAAAAAAAUAAGAUUUGCCCUUUUUUUUAAGCAAGUUUGGAUUUAGAUGUUUCCCUAUUGUCAUUUAUUGGUUCUUCAUUUUUCAUCAGAGUACGUGAAGCAAACGCAGUGGGCAAGUCUUGUCCGAUAGGACCUUGACUUAACACUCCACCUAUUGCAUAGUUGGAUGCAUCGGUGGUGAGCACAAAGGGUUUCUCGAAGUUUGGUUACUGUAACAAGGGUUCAGUACAUAUUGUAUCACGCAGGAGUUCAAAAGCUUCCUAAGUUUCAGGGCUCCAAAUGAAUUCGGCGUCAUCCUUAAGAAGUAAGAUUUUUCUUCCCUUUUGGAACAGGAAACUUUUCCACAGAGUCCGUCUUCCUGGGAUCUGGCCUUACUCCAUCCUGAGUUAUCACAUGUCCCAAAUAAGCGAUUUCUCCUUCAAGGAAAUGGCAUUUUUCCGGUUGUAGCGGCAGCCCAGCUGAUUUCAAUCGACCAAGGAGAGAUGUUAAUUUUCGAGAAUGUUCUUCGAGUGAGGCUGCAUAGACGACUAUGUCGUCCAUGUAGACAAACAGUUCUAUGCCUUGAAGACCUGUUUCAUCUCUGUGAAUUGGGGGAUAACGAUAUUGUUUUGUAUUAAUGGGCCUAUCGUCGGUGGUAAUUAUUUUGUGGCUCAACACAUUUGUGGCACCCAACUGAUCGCCUUUUAAGAGAAAUUGAGGGGAAAAUUUACUAGCCUUUUUUUUCUUCACUGAAGUCGAUUUUUUCGAGUGAACGACCUAAGGGGGAAUAAUUUCGCAUUCUUCGAUAUUAACAAGUGGCAAUGUUAACUUUACCUUAUGAAGAGUGGAGUUGACAAUAUACAUUCUGGCGAUUCCAUUCUCAUUGCGAACUAAAGUUUCACCCGCAAAAAUGCCAGGUAUUUGGAUGGUUUUAUGAGAAAUAAUAGGAAAUCGAUCUUCGCCCAUGCAAAGUUUGUCUUCAACGAAAUUAAUGACAGUUUGAUGUUGCAAAAGGAAGGUUAUUCCAAUUAUUCCUUCUUGUGAUAUCGGGAAAGACUGAGGAAUAAUAUGAAAGGGAGUUUCGAGACCCCUAAUCAUCAGUGUGAUUUCGCCAAGAGUACGGAUCAUGUUUGAUCCGAUUCCUACUAGAUCGAAGACUGUACCUCUAUUUACACGAGCCCAGGAAUGGAUCACAUUUUCUUUAAUUAAGCUGACACUAGCCCCAGUGUCAAUCAUAAAGAGACACUUUUCUGAAAUAAAAGAUGGCUGCCUUAUUUCUACUUUUGGAGCUGGACCUGCCUCCUUCAUCCCUCUUAGUCUGAGGACAACUCUUUGACUUAAGUUGCUGGAAACUUUCGAGUACGAACUCUGGUGCGACGCAAAAUUUGUAAUAUCCUUCUCUACGGUAGACUUCGAUGCAAAUCCAACCUUCACCGUCGUCGUAGAUGCGGCACAAACGAAGAGGUUCAAACUCGUAAUCGUUGAGGAGUUCGACCAAUGUCAUCAGAAGCGGAUUAGGAUCAGACAUGAUCACAAAAGUAAAAUAAAUUUAUUUCACAAGCAAAAAUGUUAAUAUUAAAAUUUG
This is a long non-coding RNA of Belonocnema kinseyi, 1736 nucleotides long. RefSeq lists it as uncharacterized. The transcript has 8 exons. The record is from RefSeq and is a predicted model, not a curated record. NCBI's taxonomy places the organism in Eukaryota, Metazoa, Arthropoda, Insecta, Hymenoptera, Cynipidae.